This is a Y RNA of Callithrix jacchus (white-tufted-ear marmoset), 111 nucleotides long. It matches the Rfam family "Y RNA". Rfam says of the family: Y RNAs are components of the Ro ribonucleoprotein particle (Ro RNP), in association with Ro60 and La proteins. Lineage: Eukaryota; Metazoa; Chordata; Mammalia; Primates; Cebidae. The record is from Ensembl.
GGCUGGUCCGAAGGUAGUGAGUUACCUCAACUGAUUGUUCAGUCAGUUACAGAUCGAAAUCCUUCUUCUACUCUUUGCCCACUUCUCACUACCGCACUUGACUAGUCUUAA